ACCGGAAUCAUCUUUUCGUUAACUUUGAUAUCAGUCUCAUAAUUGACUUUAACUGACACAACUGACUGAUUCAGUUAUCAAGAAAACAUGAGCACUGACACUCCCUCAGUAUUUCAGCCUGCUUCUGUUCCUCCCUCUCUCUCAUUCACAAAAAUUGUACCCUGAGCUUUUUUCCCCUCUUUUUCUGAAAGGAGAAGGCUGUGACUAAAGUUAGUUAACUUCCUCUGAGCCAAUGAGCUGACAGCUGUGUUUCCAAGAUUGUCCAAUGAGACUGAGUGAGAGGUUGGAGGUGGAUGUUGCUUAGCAACUGCAGGUAGAACGGGAUCACGUUGAAGUCAUUGUCUUAUCAGAGGCCCCCAAGAGACUUCACAUGCAUUGUUUUGUGAUAUAAACGUAAAAAAAAAAAAAAGAUGCACGUGUAAAGUGCGUCAAAAAAAGCCCUAAAGUUUGACUUUGAUAGGAUUGAAAAGAAACAUUAUUGCUUUUGUAGAGUUGAUAAAGAAAUCCUUUCAUAGAGCUCUCUGAUAAAGUUAGGGGAAGUAGUGAGUGGGAACUCAAGUUUAUGACCACCACUUCAAUUCCAGAGGUUUCAAAUUCCUCUUUUCUGAUUUUUUUUUUUAAAGCAUAAUUUGAAUAUAGCCAUGCGUUAAGUUGGACUUCUGAGUGUGGUGUAGCCACGACAGUGACAAAGUCUCGGCAAGGAAAAAGGAUAGAGUUUUGGGUGGGCGUUCUCCAGAAUUUAAAACCAGAUUGCUCCUCGCUGUUUUUGUGACAGGUGAGUGGCGUAACACAGGCUAACACGCCCCCACCGCAGUGUAAACAAACACACGCAGUACCUCCUACGAAGCAACGUAGCCUCUCUCCCCCGCCAGCCAGCUCACAUCACAGAUGCCAUGCUUUGGUACCCGGCUAAUUACAGACUUAAGCACCACUGUACUCCUAACAUGUAAAAGAGAGAAAGUAGAGUUUGCCAGCUAACACUUUAGAGAUGAUGCAGCCUUGAUAACUUCCUGAACAAUCCUGUGGUCGUGCAUAUCACUACAUCUGACCUGGAGUUAUAUCGCACGGAUUUAUGUGUGUGUGUGUGUGUGUGUGUGUGUGUGUGUGUCUGUGUAUGGGUGGGGGCAUUAUUCUACCCUCGUUUUCCAUAUACUCCCACUAGUCUGAAUAUAAACCCAUCUUGUUGAAUCUGUCCUUUUCCCCUGUUUAUGUGAACAAUGUUUAUGAACACUGAAUAGGAAUGUUAUGCAUUUUAAUGGUUGUCUGUGUCCAAGUUGAAUUCAUAGCUGAAACAGUAGAGCAUGGCACCAGAAAGGAGCUGUGAGAGAGUGAGGAUAAGAGAA
Molecule: long non-coding RNA, 1343 nt
Organism: Cyprinus carpio carpio
Lineage: Eukaryota; Metazoa; Chordata; Actinopteri; Cypriniformes; Cyprinidae
Source: Ensembl